This 468-nucleotide ribosomal RNA is filed under the name uncultured bacterium. Its description in RNAcentral is "partial 16S ribosomal RNA". It matches the Rfam family "Bacterial small subunit ribosomal RNA", at positions 28 to 507 of the family's 1533-position model. The record is from RNAcentral.
GACGAACGCUGGCGGCGUGCUUAACACAUGCAAGUCGAACGGAAAGGCCCUGCUUUUGUGGGGUGCUCGAGUGGCGAACGGGUGAGUAACACGUGAGUAACCUGCCCUUGACUUUGGGAUAACUUCAGGAAACUGGGGCUAAUACCGGAUAGGAGCUCCUGCUGCAUGGUGGGGGUUGGAAAGUUUCGGCUGUUGGGGAUGGACUCGCGGCUUAUCAGCUUGUUGGUGGGGUAGUGGCUUACCAAGGCUUUGACGGGUAGCCGGCCUGAGAGGGUGACCGGCGACAUUGGGACUGAGGUACGGACCAGAAGGCUACGGGAGGCAGCAGUGGGGAAUAUUGCACAAUGGGCGGGAGUCAGAUGCAGCAACGCCGCGUGCGGGAUGCCGGCCUUCGGGUUGUAAACCGCUUUCGCCUGUGACGAAGCGUGAGUGACGGUAAUGGGUAAAGAAGCACCGGCUAACUACGUG